RNAcentral lists this long non-coding RNA (220 nucleotides) under Elaeis guineensis (African oil palm). RNAcentral describes it as "long non-coding RNA (EGUI_LNC072816)". Lineage: Eukaryota; Viridiplantae; Streptophyta; Magnoliopsida; Arecales; Arecaceae. The record is from RNAcentral.
UCAAUGGUCGAUCACUGGUGGCCAAAGCCUUCGAGGAAGGUAGCUAAUAGGUUAGGGUUAAAGAUCUAGGGGUGUGGCACCACGGGCGACAGCGCUGGUGGUCGGAAAGAGAAAAAAUAAGGCUCGAUCAAAUAGGAAAAAAAUAGGUUCUUGGUUCAUGUGGCUUUUCUGGCGGAUCCAACGGUUGAUGGCCAUGUGCAAAAACAUAGAAAGAAGGGGA